This is a long non-coding RNA of Rattus norvegicus (Norway rat), 6494 nucleotides long. RefSeq lists it as uncharacterized. Lineage: Eukaryota; Metazoa; Chordata; Mammalia; Rodentia; Muridae. The record is from RefSeq and is a predicted model, not a curated record.
UGCCCUCUCUGUAAGAGUGUCUAUAUUAGGUUAACUGAGGCAGGAAGUCUUAUCCUGACUCUCAAGUGGCCCAUUCUGUGGGCCAGUGUUCCAGAUUGAUGCAGUGGUUUAAAUGGGAAACUCCCCGCUUCAUGUAUUUGAAUACUUGGUCCCCAACUAAUGCUGCUGUUUGUGGAUCUAAUGUGACCAGCGCCUCUCCUGCCACCAAACUAUCCUAACAUGAUGGGGUCUGUCUUCACUCAACUUGUAAGCCAAAGUAAGCCCUUCCUCCCUCAAGGUCUUGUCAGGUAUUUUUAUCACAGUAACAAGACAGAGAUAACACAGCCUGAGUGAGGCGCUGUCUCCUUGAGUGGCUGGGAAAGCGUUGCAGAGAAAGCAGUAACUGGACUGCAUAGUAAAGAAUUUUUAAGGCUGUGAGUGAGUGCGACUAGUGGUGAAAUCUCAUGCUGUGCCGGCAAGUUUUAGGUCAACUUGACACCAGCUAGAGUUAUCUGAAAGGAGGGAGCCUCAAACUAGAAGACGCCUCCAUAAGAUCCAGCUGUGGGGCAUUUUCUUAAUUAGGGAUUGAUGAGGGAGGGUCCAGCCCAUUUCGAGGAGUGUUAUGCCUGCACUGAUUGGUCCUGGGUUCCAUAAGAAAGCAGGCUGAGCAAGUCAUGGAGAGCAAGCCAGUAAGCAGCACCCCUCCAUGGCCUCUGCACCAGCUCCUGCCUCUAGUUCCUGCCCUGUUUAACUUCCUGUCCUGACUUCAUUCAGUCAGUCAGUGGACAGCGCUGUGGAAGUGUAAGCCAAAUAAACCCUUUCCUCCCCAAUUGCUUUUUGGUCAUGGUGUUUCAUCACAGCAAUAGAGACCCAGAGACAGCACGCAAAAGGGCCUGGGUUCAAGCCACCGUGCCACUUUUUAAAGUACUCACUAAAUCAUUAAGGCAGGAAAUGACUGCCUGGACAUGUGUGUAUGAAAUUGAAAUCAUAGCAUAUUUGAGACUCCAGUCUGGGUAUGUCAUGGGGGCACAAACAAAAGGAGAAAGAAAGAAGGCAGGUUUGAGGAUUGACCCUUUACGUUCAGUUGUGGGAAGACUGAGCUCUAUGUGCUAGCAUUUGCAAGCAGCACUCAGAAGCAGCUUCGGAUUGUAUGCCCACGUCAAAGUGAGGGGCAGAAGUGUGCGGUGCCACAAAAGUGAAUUCUAGGAUGCGUAAUCAAAUUUUAAGCAGAGUGCAUAUCAGGGGUCCCCUCCACAAACGUAGGAUUUUACCAGCCAGGCCGCCCCAGGAAUUCAGAUCCCUGUAAUUCUCAAUAGAAACUGCAGAGGGCAGCAACGGCAGUGAGUUCAGAUAAAGGGAGAAACCAAACUGCCAAGGCAGGCUGGGGAUUUUGUCUCCACCAACCAGCAGUGGAUGUUUCCAGAUGCUGAGGAAAAGACCGAGUAGGCUACAGAUCCGUAACUUUCACCUUGCAGGUAGAAGUUCCCAAACAAAACAAAAAGGACCCCUAUUCACCAAGCAGGAAGGACACAUCGUGUCCCCCAGAGGCUCGUGUGUUUGGAUGUUUACCCCACGGUUGGUGGUAUGGUCUAGGGGCGGUUUCAGACCUGGAAAGCCGGAGCCUGUGGCGCAGAGAGGAUUUUUGAGAUUGGAGGUAGGGUAGAGACAGGUGUUCGCUCUUUUAAACUGAACUACAUAAGGCGCGGUUCGUGUUGGUUAACCGAAGUACACUCUGAGGAAUGACUCAACAGGCAUUUUGAAGUUAGAAAAACAUAGAGGACAUUAAAUUAAAUAAGAUGUAACUGGGCCGCAUAAUCUGUUCCUCUAAGCAGGUUACUCUGUAGACCAGGCAGCCUCAGACUGAUUGCUCCGUCUCCGCCUUCCAAGCGUCAGGAUUGUGAACACGCACCACACAUACAAUCCCAUGGGACCGUUGUCAUUUACGCCGCCAUUACGGCCCUGUCGUGUAGUGCAAGGCUGUAUUUACUGCUGAGGGCCCAGCCCAGUGGUACUUAAAGUGGUCCAUGAACCAGUCCGUGGGGCAAGCAUGGCCUUUCAGAGCAGGCACAGAGGUCCCUUUAUAGCAGUUUGACAAUUACUUGAUGUCUGUUGACAUAUAUAGUAACCAAAAUUGGGACUUUAGGUUUUGUGUGUCUCUUUAUUAUUUCAGUUUUCUAGUAGGUGAUAGAUAGCUCAUCAUUGGUCACAGGAUCAGACAAAAAGCCCUGCUGUAGAGAGUGUACAGGGAAGUAAAAAUUCAUAGGAGAUACACACAUGCACAUAUACACACAUAUGUGUAUACAUAAUUAUAGUAUACAUAAAUUAUAAUACUAUAUAGCAUAUAUUACACUGCUUGCAAAUAUGUUAUAUAUUAUCUAACAUACAUAUACAAUAUACAUGUAUACAUGUAUGUAAUAUACGCAUAUACAAUAUAUACAUACAUAUACACACAUAUAUUUAUAUAUAAUGCUGCUUUCAUGAAAAAAUUAACCCAUCACAAUUGGUCGUUUGAGUGGACUGGUAGCCUACACCUUUAACCCCAGGACCUGGUAGGCAAAAGCAAGUAGAUCUCUGAGUUUGAGGCCAGCCUGGUCUACAGAGUGAGUUCCAGGACAUCCAAGGCUACACAGAAAAACCCUGCCUCAAAACACAAAAACAAACGAUUGGUUGGUUUUCAGUUCUGGAAUCUGAGGCCUGGUGCAUGUUAGCCAAGCACUCUACCACAGAGCUCACCUGCAGCCCAGCGCAGUCUCACAAACACGGAAGAGCUCAGUUGAGUCUCGAGAUCAUCAAAAUUAAAAUGCAGUCAGAUGAGCUCCGCACUCAGGAGGCAAGCAACCGUUUUCUCAGGUUAAGGGCAGCCUACGCCACAUAGGGAAUUCAGAUCCUGACUGAUGUAUGAGGUUCAGCAGAGAGAUUCAGGAAGCAUGGGGACGAUCAAGAGCCGCCAGCAGAUAACUCCUGCUUAGGACCACACCGUCAACAAACCUCAAAAUGCGUCCCUGAAAUGCUGAGGUGUUGGGGUACAUGGAGGCAAAGCCAACACUCUGAGGAACAGCAAAACAAUGGAGAUUCCAGAUGGCUCAAAAUCUCCCCAGCAGGACCCUACUGACCCUGUGGAUUCGGUGACUCCUUGCCAGACAGGUAUAAAUCCGGGUGUUGCCGUGACUUGUCCAGGUCACCAAAGCUCCCUUGGCAAAUGUGUGACUCAGUGGCCUCUGUAACCUGAGCGAUACUGGUGGCGGCACUGUUCUCUGGAUCUGGGCAAAGAAAAGCUGCCUGGGAGUGGAUUUCAGUGGUGCGUCUGAAGCAGUUCACUCUUCCUGCAUCCUGACCUGCUCCCCAGUCUGUGGGUCAGUAGAGCUCCACGGAACUCAACAGAGUUGUGAGCAGUGCAUCACAGGGGAUUUAACUUAUCUGAACACAUCACUUGUGAAAGAGCUUUUUGUAAGCCCUUUAUCUGGGUCAAGGACGCUGAAUCACAAAGUACAAGGAGGCUCUUCACAGGUAGGGGAACAAGACUCAGCUGCUGCAGACUCCCAGGUCUGUGGCGAGCCUCAAAUGGCUCUACAAGCCCUGGUCUCCUUCCUGCAGCUUUCAGCGUGGCGGAUGAAAGGCAGUCCAGAGCUGGAAAGAGUCCUGUCUGGCGUUGCUAUUUCAGUGCUAAUGAGCUGUCUGCAGCCCUCUGCCAGGCUUGGAGAGAGCUUUUCAUGUACUGCACCUGUGUUAGCAGCCACCGGUAUGAGGAGGAUUUGUGGCCCUAAAGAACUACAAAUGACCUUUUUGCUUUGAGGCUCUCCAGGGUAACUGCUUACUAGUCUAACCCUCCAACACUACCAGACUCUGGGACCAACAAGAUGCAUAGGAGCUCCCAAUCCAAUCAGUAGAGGAAGCCAGCCAGGCUACGAGUGCAUACAGGAUGCGGAUCCAAGAGAGGCGCGGAGGCAAAAACAAUGCAAUACAGCUGCUUUGGGCAAGUGAGAAAGCUCCGCUUAAGAGGUAACAUUUUAGCUGGGUUCUGAAGCAUGUGUAGGAGUUUGCCUAUUCAACAUUCAGUUGACUUCCAUUUAGAAAAUGAUCUAAAAGCAAAGGUACUUAAUUUGAGAUCCAGAAGCCACCGACUCUGGAAGGUUUUCAAAAUACUGUAUAAGUCUAUUGUGAAGUGCAAUUUUCUGGAUUAGGCUCAUUAGAUUCAUAAAAGAAUCUACCAUUCAAAAAAUUAAACUGUGAGUCUAGAGAUGUGGUUCAGUGGGAAAGACAAAUGACUGCUCUUCCAGAGGACCUGAGUUUGGUUCCCAGCACCCGCUUCAUGUGGCUCCAACAGCCUAUAACUCCAGCCCCAGAGAACCUGCCGCUUCUGGCUACUAUAUGCAGAGAUACAUAAAAUGUAGUUGUUUGUUUGAGACACAGGGUCUUUCUAUGUAGCUCUGGCUGGCCUGGAACUUGCUCUGUAAACCAGGCUGGCCUCAAACCCACAGAGAUCCACCUGCUUUUGCCUCCUGAGUUCGAGGGACUAAAGGCCUGCAGCAUCACACCCAGCUCUGAUAUUUGAAGUAAGAUCUUUUUGUUCUGCUUUCUAAAGGUUAAGCAGAACAGGAUCUUCAAGUGAAGGAAACAAACGGGGCUGAGAGCCAGAGGCCUAGCUCUAGCAGGUGCCACCAUCCUCUCUGGAACAUUUAGCCAGCUUCACUCAUAGCAGCUCGUCCUGUCUCUGUCCACUCUUUCUCUUCUCCCAACUCUUUCUUGCCCCAGCUUCACUCCCUAUACUUUGGCCCCUGCUCUACUCCCCAAAGCCUUAACACACACACACACACACACACACACACACACACACACACACACACACACUCGGAGAAGUAGUGGCAUCAGCAUGGAGGGCUCAUCCAAUCCCGUUGCUCAUGGCCCUAAGUCUUCAAUUGCCAGAGCAUCCUGACAGAAACGGCAUUUCAGUUCACAUGACUCAUCUGAUCACGGUGUGUGUGUGUGUGUGUGUGUGUGUGUGUGUGUGUGUGUGUGUGUGUGUGCAUGCACACACGCAUGACAACACCACUUCAACUAGUGAGUACAAGGGACUGGGGAGGUGGCUGAGUGACUAAGAGCACAUGCAGUUCUUGCAAAGGACCCGAGCUCUGUCCCUAGCACCUACGUAGGGCAGCCUAUGACUGCCUAUAAUUAACUCCAUGGGCUCUCUCUGCCUCUGGCCUCUGCAGGGACCUGUGAUCUCUCUCUCUCUCUCUCUCUCUCUCUCUCUCUCUCACACACACACACACACACACACACACACACACACACACACACACCUCUCACCCCCAACACACAUAAUAUAAAAUUUAAAUAUUUUAAAUUAUUAAAGCCAUGUUUUAAGUAAUUACUUUCUGCCAGAGGAGGAGGUUUGAUGGUUUACAUUCACAGUCUACCGUGAACCCUUCGGCAAUCCCGGGAACCAGACUGAUAAAGAGAUAUGGAAACUAGGGCUUUAGGUGGCCAAGCAUCUUGCUUUGGUCACUAUUCCUAUCUGGGACUUGAACUGGCCCCCAUCUCUGAGAACCCUAGCUUCAGGUUGGGGGGAGUGGUUCCUUGCACACAAGUGUACGCUGCUACGUGUUCCCUGUUACUGCCUAUUGCGGGGGCUUGUGCACACAGGCAGCGAGUGUCUACAGCGUGCAGCCCCAAAGGAGGCUGGGAAAAGAGCAGGCAACUGUACUGAGUGAGCAUCGGAAAUCAGGGCAGAGGGGGCUGGGGAGCCUCAUGCACAGCUGGGUGGCAUUUCAAGUCUCAGAGCAACUUGAUUAAGUUUCCACCCUAAUUCUGAUCUUGAGAUGGAAGUGGGUCAGGGUGACCCAUAUUCAGCUCCUUUGUCACAGCCCCGGGUGCUGUCCCUGGGCCAGGAAAGAGGGUCACCACUAAUGAGAGGCAAUGGGCCUGGCCGACAGCGACAGAACCUGAAAGUGAACUUGGUAAAGUCACCGUGCAGACACGGGACUCACUCCAAGUCCAGCGGGUGCCCCACUGUCCCCACAGAGGCAGGGUAGGAAGUGACAGAAAACUGUAUGGGUUCAUUGGAAGGGGCAAAGGUCCCUUCUACUCCAAUCUGUUUAAAUUCCUCUCCAGCACAGUUCACGGAGGUGACCUACACACAAAGAAUAUUUCUUAUGUGGAAAUACUGUUGAAUAAGAAAGUAAAAAUGACAAUAAACCAGGCUGGCAGUCUAAAUGGAUGUAACCUAAGGGCCCCAUGCCUUACUAGCAAGACUAUUAACAUGUUUACUGUGGAAGUUCCUUAGCCUACCUCAUCCCUGUGAUCCAGAGUUUAACCCUGUCAGGUGCCCCUCAGGAACCUCUCUGUGCUCUUGUUUAAACUCCGUAGCAACCCCUGGAAGAUUCUAACCCUAAAUCCGACAUCUAACUGUUGAGAGGACAGGGAAGUGAGGCUCCUUCCAAAAGCCCACGCCUGAACGUUGCGCCUAUAUCCCAUAAUGCCUUUCUCCUAACUCUGCUUCUUACAUUUGCUAAGCG